This 499-nucleotide ribosomal RNA is filed under the name uncultured bacterium. Its description in RNAcentral is "bacterial SSU rRNA". It matches the Rfam family "Bacterial small subunit ribosomal RNA", at positions 29 to 507 of the family's 1533-position model. The record is from RNAcentral.
ACGAACGCUGGCGGCGUGCCUAAUACAUGCAAGUCGAGCGGAAUGAUGAAGAAGCUUGCUUCUUCUGAUUUUAGCGGCGGACGGGUGAGUAACACGUGGGCAACCUACCUUGUAGAUUGGGAUAACUCCGGGAAACCGGGGCUAAUACCGAAUAAUCCAUUUUGCUUCAUGGCGAGAUGUUGAAAGACGGUUUCGGCUGUCACUACAAGAUGGGCCCGCGGCGCAUUAGCUAGUUGGUAGGGUAAUGGCCUACCAAGGCGACGAUGCGUAGCCGACCUGAGAGGGUGAUCGGCCACACUGGAACUGAGACACGGCCCAGACUCCUACGGGAGGCAGCAGUAGGGAAUCUUCCACAAUGGACGAAAGUCUGAUGGAGCAACGCCGCGUGAGUGAAGAAGGUUUUCGGAUCGUAAAACUCUGUUGUAAGGGAAGAACACGUACGAGAGUAACUGCUCGUACCUUGACGGUACCUUAUUAGAAAGCCACGGCUAACUACGUG